Molecule: long non-coding RNA, 664 nt
Filed under: Theobroma cacao (cacao)
Lineage: Eukaryota; Viridiplantae; Streptophyta; Magnoliopsida; Malvales; Malvaceae
Description: long non-coding RNA (TCAC_LNC002895)
Source: RNAcentral
UAAGUCAUCUUUUCCAAGGGCAAUACUCGAAUAAAAUUCCUUAACCAAGGUAAGACUGAAGUAGCUAUCUCCAAAGGUGAUUAACCCCUUUAUUUUCAAUUCAUUAAAAUAUCCAGACAAAGCAGAUUUAACCACAAGAGCCUCAUCAAAACAAAGCCAAUUACAAAAAAAAAAAAAACUUCUCUCAAGAUAUAGUUGCAUUUUUAAUCUUCUUAAAUUUAUCGGCAUGAGACUUAUUCCUAAAUCGAGAGGUUUGAGGAUUACCUAUCCGUAUAGAAAUUCCUUUAGUUACGAGUUCCUUUGUUUUUGACCCCUUUUGUUUCAUACUUGAGCUAUUCUUUUAAGUUAGAAAAGUUGGAUUUUCCUUAACAGUUCCUUUUCCCUUUCUUUUGUCAAAGACCUUGCUUGUCAAUGAGAAUUUUAGCAUGGAUUUCUUGAAUUUUGGGAGUUAGGGUUUCUUUGGUACUUUAGGAGUAGAUAGAGGCGGAGUGUGGAAAUAGCAUUUAGGUUUUAGAUCUUAAAUUUAGAGAGAGAAUGCUAAUUUCUGAGAGAAUGGAGGGACUUUGAUCGUGGGUAAUAACUGGUUAACCCAUGUUUUAAGUGGUUGGUUCUCGUUCCCUCUCCUCUUCAUUUUUUUUUGAAGUUUCAAACUUAACGUCUAAUG